UGUUCUGUGGCUUAGUUGGUUACAGCGCCGGUCUUGCGAAUACGGAGUCGUGGGUUCGAAUACCACCAGAACGC
Non-coding RNA from Aedes albopictus (Asian tiger mosquito), 74 nucleotides. The record is from Rfam. NCBI's taxonomy places the organism in Eukaryota, Metazoa, Arthropoda, Insecta, Diptera, Culicidae.